GACGAACGCUGGCGGCGUGCCUAAUACAUGCAAGUCGAGCGAAUUUGAUGGGAGCUUGCUCCCAGAAGAUUAGCGGCGGACAGGUGAGUAACACGUGGGCAACCUACCUGUAAGCCUGGGAUAACUUCGGGAAACCGGAGCUAAUACCGGAUAAUUUCUUUCUUCACAUGAAGAGAGGUUGAAAGACGGCUUUGCUGUCACUUACAGAUGGGCCCGCGGCGCAUUAGCUAGUUGGUGAGGUAACGGCUCACCAAGGCCACGAUGCGUAGCCGACCUGAGAGGGUGAUCGGCCACACUGGGACUGAGACACGGCCCAGACUCCUACGGGAGGCAGCAGUAGGGAAUCUUCCGCAAUGGACGAAAGUCUGACGGAGCAACGCCGCGUGAGUGAAGAAGGUCUUCGGAUCGUAAAACUCUGUUAUCAGGGAAGAACAAGUAUCGGAGUUACUGCCGGUACCUUGACGGUACCUGACCAGAAAGCCACGGCUAACUACGUGCCAGCAGCCGCGGUAAUACGUAGGUGGCAAGCGUUGUCCGGAAUUAUUGGGCGUAAAGCGCGCGCAGGCGGUUCUUUAAGUCUGAUGUGAAAUCUUGCGGCUCAACCGUGAGCGGUCAUUGGAAACUGGAGAACUUGAGUGCAGAAGAGAAGAGCGGAAUUCCACGUGUAGCGGUGAAAUGCGUAGAGAUGUGGAGAACACCGGUGGCGAAGGCGGCUCUUUGGUCUGUAACUGACGCUGAGGCGCGAAAGCGUGGGGAGCGAACAGGAUUAGAUACCCUGGUAGUCCACGCCGUAAACGAUGAGUGCUAAGUGUUAGAGGGUUUCCGCCCUUUAGUGCUGCAGCAAACGCAUUAAGCACUCCGCCUGGGGGAGUACGCCGCAAGGCUGAAACUCAAAGGAAUUGACGGGGGCCCGCACAAGCGGGUGGAGCAUGUGGUUUAAUUCGAAGCACGCGAAGAA
RNAcentral lists this ribosomal RNA (958 nucleotides) under uncultured Bacillus sp. RNAcentral's name for it is "bacterial SSU rRNA". It matches the Rfam family "Bacterial small subunit ribosomal RNA", at positions 28 to 968 of the family's 1533-position model. The record is from RNAcentral. Lineage: Bacteria; Bacillati; Bacillota; Bacilli; Caryophanales; Bacillaceae.